Molecule: unclassified non-coding RNA, 232 nt
Filed under: uncultured fungus
Lineage: Eukaryota; Fungi
Description: sequence contains ITS1, 5.8S rRNA gene
Rfam family: 5.8S ribosomal RNA (bases 184-232)
Source: RNAcentral
UCUCCGUAGGUGAACCUGCGGAGGGAUCAUUACUGAGUGAGGGUUCAACCGCCCGACCUCCAACCCUUUGUGAACCAACACUGUUGCUUCGGGGGCGACCCUGCCUUUCGGGCAGUGCGCCCCCGGUGGCCAAUUAUUAAACUCUGCAUCUCUUGCGUCGGAGUCUUAAAGAAAUUUAAACAAAACUUUCAACAACGGAUCUCUUGGUUCUGGCAUCGAUGAAGAACGCAGC